RNAcentral lists this unclassified non-coding RNA (313 nucleotides) under Hevea brasiliensis (rubber tree). Lineage: Eukaryota; Viridiplantae; Streptophyta; Magnoliopsida; Malpighiales; Euphorbiaceae. The record is from RNAcentral.
GCCCCGUCUAUCUGCUGUGUGCGAGAGAGUUCUUGACAAGUGCUUGGCACCUUCAACAGCUGCGGAGGGGUGUGAUAACAUGACUAUGAUUUUAGUGAAGUUUAAAAAACCCAUAGUUUCCAAAGCCGACGACACUGCUGACAGAUCAACAUCCAUCAUAUCAGAAAUCGAGAUCAAGUGACGUCUUUGCUAAUCUGAAAUCACUAUUGAAUGGUUUCUGCAUUCACUUGUUCAUAUGUGGAAUGCCUAGUUAGCCUAAAAUUAGUUUUUGGUUAACGGGAAAGCAAAUAUUUGUAGCCAGGGUAUUGAAGGG